RNAcentral lists this ribosomal RNA (541 nucleotides) under uncultured Bacteroidota bacterium. RNAcentral's name for it is "bacterial SSU rRNA". It matches the Rfam family "Bacterial small subunit ribosomal RNA", at positions 173 to 715 of the family's 1533-position model. The record is from RNAcentral. Lineage: Bacteria; Pseudomonadati; Bacteroidota.
AUCAUGAGUUCACAUGUCCGCAUGAUUAAAGGUAUUUUCCGGUAGACGAUGGGGAUGCGUUCCAUUAGAUAGUAGGCGGGGUAACGGCCCACCUAGUCAACGAUGGAUAGGGGUUCUGAGAGGAAGGUCCCCCACAUUGGAACUGAGACACGGUCCAAACUCCUACGGGAGGCAGCAGUGAGGAAUAUUGGUCAAUGGGCGAUGGCCUGAACCAGCCAAGUAGCGUGAAGGAUGACUGCCCUAUGGGUUGUAAACUUCUUUUAUAAAGGAAUAAAGUCGGGUAUACAUACCCGUUUGCAUGUACUUUAUGAAUAAGGAUCGGCUAACUCCGUGCCAGCAGCCGCGGUAAUACGGAGGAUCCGAGCGUUAUCCGGAUUUAUUGGGUUUAAAGGGAGCGUAGAUGGAUGUUUAAGUCAGUUGUGAAAGUUUGCGGCUCAACCGUAAAAUUGCAGUUGAUACUGGAUGUCUUGAGUGCAGUUGAGGCAGGCGGAAUUCGUGGUGUAGCGGUGAAAUGCUUAGAUAUCACGAAGAACUCCGAUUG